UAUAUAUAUCUCAAUUGUAAGUAGAUAUUACAUGAAUGAGAAUUAAGGUUUUUCUUCUUUCUCUCUCUCUCAACAUGGUAUCAGAGCCAAGGAAGAAAACCUAAUUCUUUCCUGUUUCCCGUGUCAUCAACUCCGGGAAACCUUCUUUCCUGUUUCCCGUGUCAUCAACUCCAGGAAACCUUCCGGUGACCGUGUUUCAUUCCGGUCACCUUCCCCAUCUCCCAAUACUUUCCGGUCAGUCGGAUCGUCGUCAGAAAACACUGAUCGCCGGCGAACUUUUCCG
RNAcentral lists this long non-coding RNA (283 nucleotides) under Vitis vinifera (wine grape). RNAcentral's name for it is "long non-coding RNA (VVIN_LNC007460)". The record is from RNAcentral. Lineage: Eukaryota; Viridiplantae; Streptophyta; Magnoliopsida; Vitales; Vitaceae.